Molecule: ribosomal RNA, 157 nt
Filed under: Cryphonectria parasitica (chestnut blight fungus)
Lineage: Eukaryota; Fungi; Ascomycota; Sordariomycetes; Diaporthales; Cryphonectriaceae
Description: 5.8S ribosomal RNA
Rfam family: 5.8S ribosomal RNA
About the family: 5.8S ribosomal RNA (5.8S rRNA) is a component of the large subunit of the eukaryotic ribosome.
Source: RNAcentral
AACUUUCAACAACGGAUCUUUGGGUUCGGGCAUCAAUAAAAAACCCACCAAAAGGCAAAAAGUAAGGGGAAUUGCAAAAUUCAGGGAAUCAUCAAAUCUUUGAACGCACUUUGCGCCCGCGGGAAUUCCAGCGGGCAUGCCGGUUCAAGCGUCAUUU